UUCUUGGUCAUUUAGAGGAAGUAAAAGUCGUAACAAGGUUUCCGUAGGUGAACCUGCGGAAGGAUCAUUAAAGAAAUUUAAUAAUUUUGAAAAUGGAUUUUUUUGUUUUGGCAAGAGCAUGAGAGCUUUUACUGGGCAAGAAGACAAGAGAUGGAGAGUCCAGCCGGGCCUGCGCUUAAGUGCGCGGUCGUGCUAGGCUUGUAAGUUUCUUUCUUGCUAUUCCAAACGGUGAGAGAUCUCUGUGCUUUUGUUAUAGGACAAUUAAAACCGUUUCAAUACAACACACUGUGGAGUUUUCAUAUCUUUGCAACUUUUUCUUUGGGCAUUCGAGCAAUCGGGGCCCAGAGGUAACAAACACAAACAAUUUUAUCUAUUCAUUAAAUUUUUGUCAAAAACAAGAAUUUUCGUAACUGGAAAUUUUAAAAUAUUAAAAACUUUCAACAACGGAUCUCUUGGUUCUCGCAUCGAUGAAGAACGCAGCGAAAUGCGAUACGUAAUGUGAAUUGCAGAAUUCCGUGAAUCAUCGAAUCUUUGAACGCACAUUGCGCCCCUUGGUAUUCCAGGGGGCAUGCCUGUUUGAGCGUCAUUUCCUUCUCAAACAUUCUGUUUGGUAGUGAGUGAUACUCUUUGGAGUUAACUUGAAAUUGCUGGCCUUUUCAUUGGAUGUUUUUUUUCCAAAGAGAGGUUUCUCUGCGUGCUUGAGGUAUAAUGCAAGUACGGUCGUUUUAGGUUUUACCAACUGCGGCUAAUCUUUUUUUAUACUGAGCGUAUUGGAACGUUAUCGAUAAGAAGAGAGCGUCUAGGCGAACAAUGUUCUUAAAGUUUGACCUCAAAUCAGGUAGGAGUACCCGCCGAACUUAAGCAUAUCAAUAAGCGGAGGAA
RNAcentral lists this ribosomal RNA (882 nucleotides) under uncultured fungus. RNAcentral describes it as "eukaryotic LSU rRNA". The stretch from base 433 to 586 matches the Rfam family "5.8S ribosomal RNA". The record is from RNAcentral. Lineage: Eukaryota; Fungi.